This 41-nucleotide ribosomal RNA is filed under the name Colletotrichum acutatum. Its description in RNAcentral is "partial 18S ribosomal RNA". Lineage: Eukaryota; Fungi; Ascomycota; Sordariomycetes; Glomerellales; Glomerellaceae. The record is from RNAcentral.
GCUCUAUAACCCUUUGUGACGUACCUAACCGUUGCUUCGGC